This 492-nucleotide ribosomal RNA is filed under the name uncultured bacterium. Its description in RNAcentral is "bacterial SSU rRNA". It matches the Rfam family "Bacterial small subunit ribosomal RNA", at positions 8 to 518 of the family's 1533-position model. The record is from RNAcentral.
AGAGUUGAUCAUGGCUCAGGACGAACGCUGGCGGCGUGCCUAACACAUGCAAGUCGAGCGAGGAGAUCCUUCGGGAUGAUCCUAGCGGCGGACGGGUGAGUAACACGUGGGCAACCUGCCUCAUAGAGAGGAAUAGCCUUCCGAAAGGGAGAUUAAUACCUCAUAACAUUGCAGUUUCGCAUGGAACAGCAAUUAAAGGAGUAAUCCGCUAUGAGAUGGGCCCGCGGCGCAUUAGCUAGUUGGUGAGGUAACGGCUCACCAAGGCGACGAUGCGUAGCCGACCUGAGAGGGUGAUCGGCCACAUUGGGACUGAGACACGGCCCAGACUCCUACGGGAGGCAGCAGUGGGGAAUAUUGCACAAUGGGGGAAACCCUGAUGCAAGCAACGCCGCGUGAGUGAUGACGGCCUUCGGGUUGUAAAGCUCUGUCUUCAGGGACGAUAAUGACGGUACCUGAGGAGGAAGCCACGGCUAACUACGUGCCAGCAGCCGC